GACGAACGUUGGCGGCGUGCUUAACACAUGCAAGUCGAACGGAAAGGCCCUGCUUUUGUGGGGUGCUCGAGUGGCGAACGGGUGAGUAACACGUGAGUAACCUGCCCUUGACUUUGGGAUAACUUCAGGAAACUGGGGCUAAUACCGGAUAGGAGCUCCUGCUGCAUGGUGGGGGUUGGAAAGUUUCGGCGGUUGGGGAUGGACUCGCGGCUUAUCAGCUUGUUGGUGGGGUAGUGGCUUACCAAGGCUUUGACGGGUAGCCGGCCUGAGAGGGUGACCGGCCACAUUGGGACUGAGAUACGGCCCAGACUCCUACGGGAGGCAGCAGUGGGGAAUAUUGCACAAUGGGCGGAAGCCUGAUGCAGCAACGCCGCGUGCGGGAUGACGGCCUUCGGGUUGUAAACCGCUUUCGCCUGUGACGAAGCGUGAGUGACGGUAAUGGGUAAAGAAGCACCGGCUAACUACGUGCCAGCAGCCGCGGUGAUACGUAGGGUGCGAGCGUUGUCCGGAUUUAUUGGGCGUAAAGGGCUCGUAGGUGGUUGAUCGCGUCGGAAGUGUAAUCUUGGGGCUUAACCCUGAGCGUGCUUUCGAUACGGGUUGACUUGAGGAAGGUAGGGGAGAAUGGAAUUCCUGGUGGAGCGGUGGAAUGCGCAGAUAUCAGGAGGAACACCAGUGGGGAAGGCGGUUCUCUGGGCCUUUCCUGACGCUGAGGAGCGAAAGCGUGGGGAGCGAACAGGCUUAGAUACCCUGGUAGUCCACGCUGUAAACGGUGGGUACUAGGUGUGGGGUCCAUUCCACGGGUUCCGUGCCGUAGCUAACGCUUUAAGUACCCCGCCUGGGGAGUACGGCCGCAAGGCUAAAACUCAAAGGAAUUGACGGGGCCCCGCACAAGCGGCGGAGCAUGCGGAUUAAUUCGAUGCAACGCGUAGAACCUUACCUGGGUUUGACAUGGAUCGGGAGUGCUCAGAGAUGGGUGUGCCUCUUUUGGGGUCGGUUCACAGGUGGUGCAUGCCUGUCGUCAGCUCGUGUCGUGAGAUGUUGGGUUAAGUCCCGCAACGAGCGCAACCCUUGUUCACUGUUGCCAGCACGUUAUGGUGGGGACUCAGUGGAGACCGCCGGGGUCAACUCGGAGGAAGGUGGGGAUGACGUCAAGUCAUCAUGCCCCUUAUGUCCAGGGCUUCACGCAUGCUACAAUGGCUGGUACAGAGAGUGGCGAGCCUGUGAGGGUGAGCGAAUCUCGGAAAGCCGGUCUCAGUUCGGAUUGGGGUCUGCAACUCGACCUCAUGAAGUCGGAGUCGCUAGUAAUCGCAGAUCAGCAACGCUGCGGUGAAUACGUUCCCGGG
This 1343-nucleotide ribosomal RNA is filed under the name uncultured bacterium. Its description in RNAcentral is "16S ribosomal RNA". It matches the Rfam family "Bacterial small subunit ribosomal RNA", at positions 28 to 1378 of the family's 1533-position model. The record is from RNAcentral.